RNAcentral lists this signal recognition particle RNA (97 nucleotides) under Corynebacterium sp. TAE3-ERU16. Its description in RNAcentral is "signal recognition particle sRNA small type". It matches the Rfam family "Bacterial small signal recognition particle RNA". From Rfam's summary of the family: The signal recognition particle (SRP) is a universally conserved ribonucleoprotein involved in the co-translational targeting of proteins to membranes. Archaeal SRP consists of a 7S RNA and homologues of the eukaryotic SRP19 and SRP54 proteins. The record is from RNAcentral. Lineage: Bacteria; Bacillati; Actinomycetota; Actinomycetes; Mycobacteriales; Corynebacteriaceae.
GUCAGGACCCCGUGCGGCGUACACCUCGUGAACUCCCCCAGGGCAGGAAUGCAGCAAGGGUCAGCGAGCUCUGACGGGUGCGCGGGGUCCCCUCAAA